Molecule: long non-coding RNA, 643 nt
Organism: Medicago truncatula (barrel medic)
Lineage: Eukaryota; Viridiplantae; Streptophyta; Magnoliopsida; Fabales; Fabaceae
Exons: 2
Source: RefSeq, a predicted model, not a curated record
AGCGAUCCAAUGAUUUUCUAUUUAUUACAUAUACAAAAAAGAGAAAGUAUGAAUCCAAACAUCAGAUUAUUUUAUGCUUUGAUUAUCUUUCUUUCUCUUCUACUUAUUCUAACCGAUGGUGGUCUAAUCAACGGUGGUUCUGUUCCUUGCUUGACUAGCUUUGGUUGUCCAAGAAGUACAUGCUACCCUCCUUCAACACCAAAUUGCAUUCGUCGUAUUUGUGAGUGCAUCUAAGUAUAACAAUUAAGUUAAAAACAUAAUUGUAUGUUACUUGUAAUUGAAUAAUUUAUAUGUACGUCAUAAUGUUGGCACUCAUACAAUUUUUGUCAAUUUCAAUUCAUUUGGUUGAUCUAGAAAACUCUCAUUAGAGGAUUAGUGGAUGAAAUUAGUACUUGUUAUUAGGCUGGCCGUACUAAUUGCUAGUGGCCUUUACUUUUUUUUUUAUUUUUUUAUUUUCGCACCGGUUUUCAACCCAUAAAAAAUGGACAACUAAUCCGACUCGUAUGUAGAGGAGGCAUGUGCACCGGCCAAACCUUUACUUUUAAUGCUACUGUGAUGAUUCACAUAUUUAUGUUCUAUAUUAGACACAUUUGGUUGUAAAUGAUACACCUUAAAGAAUACAAUACAAAGGCUAUCUUAUUCA